This 317-nucleotide ribosomal RNA is filed under the name uncultured bacterium. Its description in RNAcentral is "bacterial SSU rRNA". It matches the Rfam family "Bacterial small subunit ribosomal RNA", at positions 28 to 334 of the family's 1533-position model. The record is from RNAcentral.
GAUGAACGCUGGCGGCGUGCCUAAUACAUGCAAGUCGAGCGAACAGACGAGGUGCUUGCACCUCUGACGUUAGCGGCGGACGGGUGAGUAACACGUGGGUAACCUACCUAUAAGACUGGAAUAACUCCGGGAAACCGGGGCUAAUGCCGGAUAACAUAUUGAACCGCAUGGUUCAAUAGUGAAAGACGGUCUUGCUGUCACUUAUAGAUGGACCCGCGCCGUAUUAGCUAGUUGGUAAGGUAACGGCUUACCAAGGCGACGAUACGUAGCCGACCUGAGAGGGUGAUCGGCCACACUGGAACUGAGACACGGUCCAG